CAAGCCUUUUUGCGAGGAGAGGAUGUAUUAGUAGUCUUGCCAAAAAGCUUAGGGAAAAGCCUCAUUUACCAGCUAGCUAGUUGUAGUCUUCAAGAAGCAAGGAAAACAGCAUCCAAUUUUGACAGUCGUGUCCCCGCUAAAAGCUGUGGUGGACGGAGGAACAAAUCCGCAAGGCAACAGCCCUGGGUCUCAAAGUGGUGGUUGUGGAGGAAGACAAAAAUGCUAUAUGGGAGGGUGCGUGCGACUUUGUCUUCUGAAGUCCGGAGAGCUGGCCUCAGUCCUAUACAGCUCCAAAUUAGUUGGAAUCGUUGUGGAUGAUGUUCAUAUAACCUACAUAUGGACGCAGAGAAGAUGAAGAAGGUAGUACCUGCAAGAGGGUGUUGGGAUAACAACAGACAAUGGAAAAGCUCAGAGACACUGACGUCUGCCACUGACAUUCAAGGAGUUCAGCUAUCCAGAAUCAGAACUGAGAUCAUGCUACUAUGAGGCUGAACAAUAAUUGUUCCUCUGCACCAGGGUACAGAGAAGAAUGAAAGACACCUUCACUCGACAUCUUCACUGAGUCUACACACCUUCACAUUUCAAAAAGUAAUUCAAUGUUUGCUUCAUGGAUCUUUUAUUUAUUUAACCUUCAUUUAA
This is a long non-coding RNA of Coregonus clupeaformis (lake whitefish), 639 nucleotides long. RefSeq lists it as uncharacterized. The transcript has 3 exons. Lineage: Eukaryota; Metazoa; Chordata; Actinopteri; Salmoniformes; Salmonidae. The record is from RefSeq and is a predicted model, not a curated record.